CCAAUAGCGUAUAUUAAAGUUGUUGCAGUUAAAAAGCUCGUAGUUGAAUUUCGGGGUCAGCAGGUCGGUCGUGCCACCGGUAUGUACUGGCCUUGCUGAUUCCUCCCUCUUGUAGAACCGUAAUGCCAUUAAGUUGGUGUUGCGGGGACACAGGACUGUUACUUUGAAAAAGUUAGAGUGUUUAAAGCAGGCUAACGCUUGAAUACAUUAGCAUGGAAUAAUGAAAUAGGACGAUCGAUCCUAUUUUGUUGGUUUCUAGGAUUGACGUAAUGAUUAAUAGGGAUAGUUGGGGGCAUUAGUAUUCAAUUGUCAGAGGUGAAAUUCUUGGAUUUAUUGAAGACUGACUACUGCGAAAGCAUUUGCCAAGGAUGUUUUCAUUAAUCAAGAACGAAAGUUAGGGGAUCGAAGACGAUCAGAUACCGUCGUAGUCUUAACCAUAAACUAUGCCGACUAGGGAUCGGAUGAUGUUAAUUUUUUAAUGACUCAUUCGGCGCCUUACG
This 500-nucleotide ribosomal RNA is filed under the name uncultured Glomeromycotina. RNAcentral describes it as "partial small subunit ribosomal RNA". It matches the Rfam family "Eukaryotic small subunit ribosomal RNA", at positions 591 to 1092 of the family's 1831-position model. The record is from RNAcentral. Lineage: Eukaryota; Fungi; Glomeromycota.